UGGCCGGGUCAUUUCCAGCAGAGUCGCCAUGUAAGACAGACGGGUACAUUGUCACAGCGGGCUAAUAUCUUCAUUCGUUCAAGAAUUCAAUUUUAGUUAGGGAACUUAUGACUUGGGCACGGAUAGCAGACCGUGCGUCAUAUCUGUGAUGAUGACAACGAUGAUGAUCGUGAUGGUGACUUCAUCGUGGUGAUGAUGAUUGUGACGAUGGUGAUGAUAUCAACGUGGAUUGUCUCGGACAUCCUAUACCAUUCCCAGCUUUGGAUAUAAAGCCCGGAAGGACUGGAGGGAUUGGGUGUGACAUCUACAGUUUGAUGUGACUUUUUGUGAUACAAAACGAUCCAUUCUAUGGGCAAUUUAAUUUUCCCGGGUUUUCUUUUGUUUGAAUUUUUAUACAUAUACGAUAGGUACUGUUUUCCUGUUAUCGUGAAUAUUAGUUUUUUUUUUUUUUUGGUAGGUGUGUGAUUGGUGUGAGACUGUUACCUAUAUAUCUUCCUUUUAUUUGAAAAUAAUUUUUUUUCAAUAAUUCUUCAGUACUGUUCUUGUUUGUUAUUUGGAUUGUAGCGUCGCUCAUCCCGUUACACACCCCAAAAA
Long non-coding RNA from Ostrea edulis (European flat oyster), 594 nucleotides. RefSeq lists it as uncharacterized. Lineage: Eukaryota; Metazoa; Mollusca; Bivalvia; Ostreida; Ostreidae. The transcript is spliced from 2 exons. The record is from RefSeq and is a predicted model, not a curated record.